RNAcentral lists this long non-coding RNA (261 nucleotides) under Athene cunicularia (burrowing owl). RNAcentral's name for it is "lncRNA (ENSACUG00000013947.1)". The record is from RNAcentral. Lineage: Eukaryota; Metazoa; Chordata; Aves; Strigiformes; Strigidae.
AAAUUUUAGUGUGUGGUUAAGAGUUUGCUGGGAAAAUGGAUGGAGUCUGUCUGAAAAAUAGCUGGAAACGUUAAAAUGUCAGUGUCAGGUUUAUUUUACCUUUUACAAAAACACUUUCCCACUUGAACAUGGGGAUUCAUUGUAAAAGCAAACCUUCCGGUGGCUUUUUUAACAGCUUCUGUCAUGAUGCUCCGAAAUCUCUAUCUUCUAUGGUACUGAAAAGCAUGAAGAUCUCAACAGUGAUGAAAUGUGUCCGAGGAA